AACGUGAAAGGGGAGCAAUCCCCCGGUAGGGUGGCAAACGGGUGAGUAAUACAUGGGUGAUCUACCUUAGGGAUGGGGAUAUCCUUCCGAAAGGAGGGGCAAUACCGAAUAUUGUCCGGAGCCGUGAAGGGUUCCGGGGAAAGGGAGGCCUCUGAUACAAGCUUUCGCCUUAAGAUGAGCCCAUGGCCCAUCAGCUAGUUGGUAGGGUAAAGGCCUACCAAGGCUACGACGGGUCGCUGGUCUGAGAGGACGACCAGCCACACUGGCACUGAGAUACGGGCCAGACUCCUACGGGAGGCAGCAGUGAGGAAUAUUGCGCAAUGGGGGAAACCCUGACGCAGCAACGCCGCGUGUGGGAAGAAGGCCUUCGGGUCGUAAACCACUUUUGCACGGGACGAAAAAGGGAUAUCGAACAAAUAUCCCCGAUGACGGUACCGUGAGAAUAAGCCACGGCUAACUCUGUGCCAGCAGCCGCGGUAAGACAGAGGUGGCAAGCGUUGUUCGGAAUUAC
This 511-nucleotide ribosomal RNA is filed under the name uncultured bacterium. Its description in RNAcentral is "bacterial SSU rRNA". It matches the Rfam family "Bacterial small subunit ribosomal RNA", at positions 65 to 554 of the family's 1533-position model. The record is from RNAcentral.